UGUGAGUUGUACCUGCACAUC
RNAcentral lists this non-coding RNA (21 nucleotides) under Caenorhabditis elegans. The record is from RNAcentral. Lineage: Eukaryota; Metazoa; Nematoda; Chromadorea; Rhabditida; Rhabditidae.